UCCCCUAGUAACUGCGAGUGAAGCGGGAAAAGCUCAAAUUUAAAAUCUGGUGGUCUCUGGCCAUCCGAGUUGUAAUUUAGAGAAGCGUCUUCCGCGCUGGACCGUGCAUAAGUCUCCUGGAAUGGAGCGUCAUAGAGGGUGAGAAUCCCGUCUUUGGCAUGGACCCCAGGGCUUCUGUGAUGCGCUCUCGAAGAGUCGAGUUGUUUGGGAAUGCAGCUCAAAAUGGGUGGUGAACUCCAUCUAAAGCUAAAUAUUGGCGAGAGACCGAUAGCGAACAAGUACCGUGAGGGAAAGAUGAAAAGCACUUUGGAAAGAGAGUGAAACAGUACGUGAAAUUGUUGAAAGGGAAACGCUUGAAGUCAGUCGCGUCGACCGAGACUCAGCCUUGCCUUGGCUUGGUGUACUUCUCGGCUGACGGGUCAGCAUCAAUUUUGGUCCUUGGAUAAUGGCAAGGGAAAGGUGGCACCUUUAUAGGUGUGUUAUAGUCCUCUGUCGCAUACAAGGAUUGGGAUUGAGGAACUCAGCACGCGCCUCAAGAGGGUGUCGGGGCCGCUUGGCUCACGUUUACGUGCUUAGGAUGUUGGCAUAAUGGCUUUAAACGACCCGUCUUGAAACACGGACCAAGGAGUCUAACAUGCCCGCGAGUGUUCAGGUGGAAAACCUGUGCGCGCAAUGAAAGUAAAAGUUGGGACCUCUGUCGUGGAGGGCACCGACGCCCGGACCAGACCUUCUGUG
This 735-nucleotide ribosomal RNA is filed under the name Russula maguanensis. RNAcentral describes it as "partial large subunit ribosomal RNA". It matches the Rfam family "Eukaryotic large subunit ribosomal RNA", at positions 76 to 783 of the family's 3401-position model. Lineage: Eukaryota; Fungi; Basidiomycota; Agaricomycetes; Russulales; Russulaceae. The record is from RNAcentral.